UACGUAGGUGGCAAGCGUUAUCCGGAUUUAUUGGGCGUAAAGGGAACGCAGGCGGUCUUUUAAGUCUGAUGUGAAAGCCUUCGGCUUAACCGGAGUAGUGCAUUGGAAACUGGGAGACUUGAGUGCAGAAGAGGAGAGUGGAACUCCAUGUGUAGCGGUGAAAUGCGUAGAUAUAUGGAAGAACACCAGUGGCGAAAGCGGCUCUCUGGUCUGUAACUGACGCUGAGGUUCGAAAGCGUGGGUAGCAAUCAGG
RNAcentral lists this ribosomal RNA (253 nucleotides) under uncultured bacterium. Its description in RNAcentral is "partial 16S ribosomal RNA". It matches the Rfam family "Bacterial small subunit ribosomal RNA", at positions 524 to 776 of the family's 1533-position model. The record is from RNAcentral.